GAGUUUGAUCCUGGCUCAGAUUGAACGCUGGCGGCAGGCCUAACACAUGCAAGUCGAGCGGAAACGAGUUAACUGAACCUUCGGGGAACGUUAACGGCGUCGAGCGGCGGACGGGUGAGUAAUGCCUGGGAAAUUGCCCUGAUGUGGGGGAUAACCAUUGGAAACGAUGGCUAAUACCGCAUAAUAGCUUCGGCUCAAAGAGGGGGACCUUCGGGCCUCUCGCGUCAGGAUAUGCCCAGGUGGGAUUAGCUAGUUGGUGAGGUAAUGGCUCACCAAGGCGACGAUCCCUAGCUGGUCUGAGAGGAUGAUCAGCCACACUGGAACUGAGACACGGUCCAGACUCCUACGGGAGGCAGCAGUGGGGAAUAUUGCACAAUGGGCGCAAGCCUGAUGCAGCCAUGCCGCGUGUAUGAAGAAGGCCUUCGGGUUGUAAAGUACUUUCAGCAGUGAGGAAGGUGGGUAUGUUAAUAGCAUACUCAUUUGACGUUAGCUGCAGAAGAAGCACCGGCUAACUCCGUGCCAGCAGCCGCGGUAAUACGGAGGGUGCGAGCGUUAAUCGGAAUUACUGGGCGUAAAGCGCAUGCAGGUGGUUUGUUAAGUCAGAUGUGAAAGCCCGGGGCUCAACCUCCGAAUUGCAUUUGAAACUGGGAAACUAGAGUACUGAAGAGGGGGGUAGAAUUU
This 681-nucleotide ribosomal RNA is filed under the name uncultured bacterium. RNAcentral's name for it is "bacterial SSU rRNA". It matches the Rfam family "Bacterial small subunit ribosomal RNA", at positions 9 to 669 of the family's 1533-position model. The record is from RNAcentral.